RNAcentral lists this ribosomal RNA (355 nucleotides) under uncultured bacterium. RNAcentral describes it as "bacterial SSU rRNA". It matches the Rfam family "Bacterial small subunit ribosomal RNA", at positions 29 to 415 of the family's 1533-position model. The record is from RNAcentral.
AGCGAACGCUGGCGGCAGGCCUAAUACAUGCAAGUCGAGCGCACCUUCGGGUGAGCGGCGGACGGGUGAGUAACGCGUGGGAAUGUGCCCUUUUGGUACGGAACAACUGAGGGAAACUUCAGCUAAUACCGUAUGUGCCCUUGGGGAAAGAUUUAUCGCCAUUGGAGCAGCCCGCGUUGGAUUAGGUAGUUGGUGAGGUAAAGGCUCACCAAGCCUACGAUCCAUAGCUGGCUGAGAGGAUGAUCAGCCACACUGGGACUGAGACACGGCCCAGACUCCUACGGGAGGCAGCAGUAGGGAAUCUUGCGCAAUGGGCAAAGCCUGACGCAGCCAAUGCCGCGUGAAUGAUGAAGGU